Long non-coding RNA from Amphimedon queenslandica, 441 nucleotides. RefSeq lists it as uncharacterized. The transcript is spliced from 2 exons. Lineage: Eukaryota; Metazoa; Porifera; Demospongiae; Haplosclerida; Niphatidae. The record is from RefSeq and is a predicted model, not a curated record.
GUUAUUGUUUGGAAGUGCAUUAUUCUACUACUGUAGGUUGACGGUAUCUUGAGGGAAAGCUAUAUCAAGACUACUGAUUUGAAUGAUGACUGCCUUUCAGCGUAUAAUCCUUGUUGUUGCUGUAGUAUUCAUGAUUGCUAUUGUUCUUGUGGAGUGCAAAUACGAAUGUUUCAGUGAUCCAUAUUGCAAGAAUUUUACAAUGAUAGCAUCUAGUGCUAGUGCUUGCUGUGCUAAAGGGAAAUCCUACUUGAAGGUUACUGAAGGUGGUCCAUUUUCGGUCUGUAAAAGUUGCUAGAUGCAAAGCCGGAAUUGAACGGUACCACUCAUCAGAGGGAAUAUAUAGACUAGCUAUAUAUAUAACCUGAUAAUUUUGCUGCUUUACAAUAAUUUUGCUGCUUUACAAUAAUUUUGCUGCUUUACAAUAAUUUUUCUAAUGCUCAA